Molecule: ribosomal RNA, 482 nt
Filed under: uncultured bacterium
Lineage: Bacteria
Description: partial 16S ribosomal RNA
Rfam family: Bacterial small subunit ribosomal RNA
Source: RNAcentral
GACGAACGCUGGCGGCGUGCUUAACAUAUGCAAGUCGAACGCUGAAGCUCAGCUUGCUGGGUGGAUGAGUGGCGAACGGGUGAGUAACACGUGAGUAACCUGCCCUCUUCUUUGGGAUAACGCCCGGAAACGGGUGCUAAUACUGGAUAUUCACUGAUUCUCGCAUGGGGGUUGGUGGAAAGGUUUUUUCUGGUGGGGGAUGGGCUCGCGGCCUAUCAGCUUGUUGGUGGGGUGAUGGCCUACCAAGGCUUUGACGGGUAGCCGGCCUGAGAGGGUGACCGGUCACAUUGGGACUGAGAUACGGCCCAGACUCCUACGGGAGGCAGCAGUGGGGAAUAUUGCACAAUGGGCGAAAGCCUGAUGCAGCGACGCCGCGUGAGGGAUGGAGGCCUUCGGGUUGUAAACCUCUUUCGCUCAUGGUCAAGCCGCAGCUUUGGGUUGUGGUGAGGGUAGUGGGUAAAGAAGCGCCGGCUAACUACGUG